Molecule: long non-coding RNA, 5014 nt
Filed under: Heterocephalus glaber (naked mole-rat)
Lineage: Eukaryota; Metazoa; Chordata; Mammalia; Rodentia; Bathyergidae
Description: lncRNA (ENSHGLG00000031872.1)
Source: RNAcentral
AUAUCCAAAUGUGUUGCUCACUGGGGAACAAUAGAUUAAAAUUUUCUCAUCACUUGUGCAAAUAACAUCUGUUUCUCUCCAGAAUACUACAAAAGCUUCCCAAACAACCUCUGCUUCUACCCUUGGUCUCUUGCCGGCUCUUACUCUAAGAUUUAUUUCAAAGAAACCCUGCGGAAUGUCUAAAUUGCAUCAUAUCUUCCCUCUGCCACCAACCUUCCAGCAAUUCCCCAUCUCCUGCAGCUCAGAGCACAAAGCCAUCCUCGAUACCUAUAAGGUCCAGUAAAACCUGCAGCCUUCCUGUUUUCCCUACCACUCUGACUUCGGCUCCUAACCCUCUCCUGGCCUGCAGCCACACUGACCACCUUGGUGUCCCCAAUGCAUGAGGUGUUAUCUUGAAUCAGGACCUGGCUGUUCUUUUUGCCUGGAAAACUCUGAAACAUCCUGCUCCUGGAUAUCCACCUAGUGACCUCUUUCACCUCUGUCAAGGAUUUGCUGCAAUGUCUUCUUCCCCGUGAGUUCUCUGCUUUACCGUGGCAAGUUCUUCCUGCUCAUGGCACUCCCAGUACCCUCUGCCCUGCUGUAUUUUGUCCAUAGAUCUUAAUAUCUUCUUAAAUGCUAUAUGUUUUACGUAUUUAUGUAUAGUUUGUAAUCUCCCUUUACUGGAAUCUAAGCUCAUAUGUACAGUAGUCUUACCUGCUGUAUCUCAAUAGCAUACAACAGAUGCUGGCACAUAAGAGGUGCUAAUUUAAUAUUUUUUGAAUGAAGAAAUGACUGAGUGAAUGAAUGAGCAGCGAUUCUAUUAUCUGACUUUGCUGUGGCACUUAGGAGCUCACUGGACAAUCUCAGUUUUGCUUGGGAAUGUAUUGCAAGAAGUGACAGCUGCUGAUCGUGGGCCUGGGCAGGCAGUCUGCUUGCUACAGCUGAUGAUGCUUAGAGCUGGGCCUGGUGUGAGGUGUCCUCCUCCCGCCACUGCCUCAGGAGCUUCUCAUGUUCUGUGAUCAGAAUCAGUCAUCUUGGACGCAUUGUGCAGACCCAUUGUUUGGCAUUCAGCUGUUGUUUUCUGUCUGUAUCAUUGGCCUUUCUUCGGUCUCUGACCUUGCUUCCGAAGACCCCUCCACUAGAUCGCUAAUCCCCCAUUGCUCUGCACCCGUAACCAGAUAGUAAUGCCUCCCGGAGUCCUUUUCUCAGGUCAGUCCUGGACUUGCCACCACUGGGGAGGAAAAGUUGGAUAUUAGAUACGUUGCUCUAGUUUUAAACAACCAAGGGGAAAAUGGAGGGCUGGCUGAUUUAUUUAUGGAAUAAACAAACUCAGAUUCAGAUGAUGAUGGGUUAUCCGGAUAAUUCAGUUUCUAGGUUUGUUCUCCCAAAUUAUCUAGACAUUUAACAUUUCAAGUAAAACCCAGAAGAUAAUCUCAUCAUCUUUCACUUUUCUCCAUAUGGUGGUAGUUUCUCAAGAUGAAAUAUGACUAUUUGCUUUCCUGAAGAGCAAAUGUCAAUCUUGUACAUAAAGUACUUUGUGCUGAAAUAGGGCACUGUGGACUUCUUGUGACUAAUUGAAAGCCAGGAAAUGCAAAUUAAGUUAUAAUAUUUAAUCAUUAGAGAAUGAAGAAAUAUGAGUUGAGGCUUUCUUUACAUUAUUCAAAUCCUUGGAAUGAAUCACAAUUGAUUCAUGGUCCAGUUAUCUUAUUCCUAAAGGACUGAAAUCUUGAUUUCAAAAUUGACAAGAGUGUAAAAGAGAAAGCCCUUUGGAAAGCCAGAAUCCUUUUCCUACCGCUCUAGCAAUGAUCUUGCAAAGGGCUAAUGAUACAUCAUCAGAUUUACAGAGCAACACAAUUAAGAGCAUCUCAUUUGGCUCUGCUAAUAUGCUUAAUGUCUAUGAGGGGGAAAACAUGUCACAGUUCCCAUUCUUUAGAAAGAGUAGCACAGAGCCCUUGUAGAAACCUGGCCCCUCAGAUCAUUUCCACAACAGUGAGCUCCUGGUUUUGAUUCCUAGUUCACCAAGAAGAUAACUUAAAAGCAAUAAAGACAUGAGAGAAGGCUCUGGGAAGUGGGGAAGGACUGCAGAAAAGGAAGAGGGCAAGACUGAGUCAUCAGCAACAGAAACAUUCCCUAUGAACAUUUACCUGGAAUGUACUACAUAAGUCUGGACAUACAAUAGGACUGAGAAUAAUAAUUGCAGUAAUUGUUCUGUCUUCCGGGAGCUUAUAUUGAGAUAUAGGGCAUAAAUAAACAUGAAAGUAAAUGGCAACACAAAGUAGAAAGGCUAGGUAUAUGCUGACCAUAUUUUUCAAAUGAAUACAGUGGACCCUCGACUUGCGAACUCAAUUUAUUCCUCAGGACUAGUUGUAACUCAAAUUGGUCAAUUGCCUUCAAAGUCUCUUUCCUGUAUAAUUUUAGGCCACACUUUCUUCCAGGAAAAUCUCAAUGUCCUUAGACAUUGGCCCAGGAUUUCUCAAUUAACCCUGCUCAGGAAAGGAUGUUGUCAUGUUCCUUCCAGAACUCUUUAAGAAUUAAAUCUGUAUCUGAGACCAUCUGGAAGCACAAGCAGCUGGCAUUCAGAACUUCUGUGUUGCCUCCAACUCAAGCCAGACCUGUAUCUCUUCUCCUCACCUCCACGGCCAACUCUAGGCUCUUCCUAUAUAGUCCAGAGUGGUCUUGAACUCACUAUAGAGCCCAAGCUGGCUUUGAACUCAUGGCGCUCCUCUUGCCUCAGUCUCUUGAGUGCUGGGAUUACAAGCAUGAGGCCUGCAGUGUUGCAGAAACAUCAUGGCGGAAGGGUGUGGCAGGUGAAAGCUGCUUACCUCAUGGUAGCCAGGAAGUGGAGAGAGCAAGAAAGGAAUCAGUGAAGAAGGAGGAUGGACCAUCCUGCCUCUUUUAAAUGCAGGACACUGGAGUGAAAAUAUAAGAAGUAGACUGGGGUACCAACACGGUCCAGUUAUCAUCUGGUACUGAUUGAUCUACCAACCUGCAAAAAAGCAAUCAAUUAAUAUAUCAACAUAUGCUAUAAGAGAAAAUCUCUGUCUUUAUAAUACUGUUAUGUAAUCUUUCAAACUAUAUUUAAUCUAUUUUAACACAAUCAUUUAAAUUUCCACAGCAUAUUAUUAUACUAUCAACCUGUAAUUUAAGAUUCUUUUGCAACCUGCAUUCAUUGUUGGUUAUAUUUUCACAGUUAAGGGAUUAUAACCAAAUGAUAGCUGGCCAUGGGAUAGAGGAUGGAGCAAGCAUGCAAGAUGCUAAAUUGGAUUAAAGUAUUAAACUCAGUUUGUGAAUGCAUACUAAAUAUAUUUGCAUUCAGGUUAAGAUUUUAAAGUGCAGAAGGUUCUUCUAAUGCAGCAAACAAUGAAAAGUAUAAAUGGAAAGGCGUUCAGCCCAAAUGAAUCACCACACAAAAUGAAAAAAUAGAAACACCCACAGAUUUCAUUAUUUUAAGAAAAAAAUACUUCCUUACAGUAGAGAACAAUCAUAUAUUGGAAAUAGGAUGGAAGAAUGGAGCAGUUUUCUUGUGACAAUGAUUUAACAAUGCUCUUAAAACCUGUGCACUUGUAUACUAAGUUCUAAAAUGUUACAGUGUUGAGUAAAACCAUUAAAACCAAUAACUUUGUUUCCUUUUUCCUAUUAGAAAUACUUCUUUACUGUAGAAGAUAAUAGGUGAACAAAAAGAAAAACCGAAAAACCACCAUAACCCCACCACUCAGAAAUAACUACCAUAAUACUUCCAUAGCAUUAUUAAGAUUCACAUACCAUUCAACUCACAUGUUUAAUGUAAACAAUUUAUUGAAAUUAUUUUAAAAUAUUGAAUAUUUAAUUUAUUGAAAAUAUUUACUAUAUUUUCAGAGAUGUAUAAUCAUUACCACCUAAUUUAGAACAUUUUAUCACCCCCAAAAUAAACACAUUAACAGUCAUUUCUCAUUUCCCCCAACACAUAUUCCCCAGCUACUCAGCCCUAAGCAAAUACUAAUGUACUUUCUAUAUCUCUAGAUCUGCAUGUUCUGGACAUUUCAUAUAAAUAAAAUCACAAUGUGUGGUCUUUCAUAACUGCCUUUUUUCAUUUAGCAAAAUGUUUUCAAGAUUUUGUCAAUGUCCUUUCUUUUUUUGGCAGUACUAGGAAUUAAACCCACGGGCACUCUGCUACUGAGCUACAUCCCCAGCCCUCUUUAUUAAUGGUAUUUUAAACAGAGUCUGGCUAAGUUGUCCAGGCUGGUCUUGGGCUUGCAGUCCCUCUGCCUCAGCCUCCUGAGUAGCUAGAAUCACAGGUGGGUGCCACCGUACCCUUCAAGAUUUAGCCAUGUUGUAACUCCUAUCAGUAGUGAAGACUUCAUUGCUGUAUGAUAUUCCAUUGUGUCUAUUCAGUGUAUCUUGUUUCUCUAUUUAUUUUGAACUUUGGGUUGUUUCCACUUUCUGUCACAAAUAACGCUGCUGUGAAUAUUCAUGUGCAAGUUUUUGUUGAAUUUGUUGUCAAGUCUCAUGGAAUCUAGGAGUACAAGGUCUGGGUCACAUGGUAACCAUAUGUUUAACAUUUUUGAGGAAAUGCUAGAUUAUUUUACAAAUAGCUAUGUUACUUUGCAUUCCCAUCAGCGAUGUAUGAUGGUUCAGAUUUCUGCACAACUUUCCACACUUGUUACUGGAGAGGGAGGGGGAGAGCGCUAUCCUAGUGAAUUUAACAUGGUAUCUAAAUUUCUUUUUAAUUUGCAUUUUCUUAAUGACAAAUGAUGUUGAACAUUAUUUCAUUUGCUUAUUAUCUAUUUGUAUAUCUUCUGUGGAGAAAUGUCAAAUCAGAUCCUUUGCCAUUUAAAGAAUUGGGGCAUUUUUCUUUUUACUGUUGAGUCUUAAAACUUCUUGUAUAUUCUGUACACAAGUUCCUUAUCAGCUACAUGAACUAUAAAUAAUUCCUCUCAUUCUCUGAGUUGUCUUCUUUCUUGGUGUUAUUAUCUGCAACCCAGAAGGUAUUAAUUUGAUUAAACCCAAUUUAUCUAUUUUUACCUUUGUCUCAUACUUUCAAUAUUGUAUCUAAGAU